AGGAGAAGCUGAAGGAGGAACAUCAUCACCUGCAGAAGAAACAUGCAGAGAUCAGCAACAUGAAGAAAGAACAACAGUCAAACAAACCUAACACACCACAGAGAGGUGACAUUAUUUUAGACGAGGUCGACAGACAUGGUCACUAUAUCUGUCUGAAAAACUCUUCCAGUGAGGAUAUAUUGAUGGCAGGUUGGAAGUUAAAACUACAGAGCGGCGACCGAAUCAGCAUAUACACAUUUAAAGAAAACUUUACACUGAAAGCUAAAG
Molecule: non-coding RNA, 267 nt
Organism: Maylandia zebra (zebra mbuna)
Lineage: Eukaryota; Metazoa; Chordata; Actinopteri; Cichliformes; Cichlidae
Source: RefSeq, a predicted model, not a curated record